This 124-nucleotide microRNA precursor is filed under the name Hordeum vulgare. RNAcentral describes it as "microRNA MIR1122". It matches the Rfam family "MIR1120/MIR1122 microRNA precursor family". Lineage: Eukaryota; Viridiplantae; Streptophyta; Magnoliopsida; Poales; Poaceae. The record is from RNAcentral.
AUUCUACUCCCUCCGUUCGGAAAUAAUUGUCCUAGAAAUGAAUGAAUCUAGACUUAUUUUAGUUAUAGAUACAUUGAUUAUAUUAAUUUUUAGGACAAGUAUUUCCGGACGGAGGGAGUAUUUA